This 656-nucleotide long non-coding RNA is filed under the name Delphinapterus leucas (beluga whale). Its description in RNAcentral is "lncRNA (ENSDLEG00000003084.1)". Lineage: Eukaryota; Metazoa; Chordata; Mammalia; Artiodactyla; Monodontidae. The record is from RNAcentral.
AUGGCUCACGGGCCCAGCCUCUCCGCGGCAUGUGGAAUCUUCCCAGACCAGGGCACGAACCCGUGUCCCCUGCAUCGGCAAGCGGACUCUCAACCACUGCGCCACCAGGGAAGCCCUCUCCCUCUUAUUCUAUGUCAUUUGUUACUGGGCUGGUCUUAUUCUAUGUUCCUAGUGCCUGGGAAGUACCCAUCACAGAACAAGAUGUUUACCCAUUGGAUGAGAGAAAGAGGGAGAGAGGGAGGAAGGGAGAAAGCAAGGAAAAGGCAGAAGAGGAAAGAAAUCCCCAGACUUGUCCUGGACCCACAUCAUGAUUCCAUUAGCCAGCUGAGAGACCACUGCCUAAGGACGACGGAACUUGAUCUCAGCUUCACACAAUUACACUCCCUGCUUCAGCCCCAGGUGGCACAGGAAAACGGAACGUGGGUCUUUCCCUUGUGAAGCUGGAUUGACUUAUUCAGAGAGUACUUGGGCCAAUGCAUACUGCAAGUCAGAACGAUUCUUGGAGUUGAUUUGAACUGGUUAACUGGUUGCUUGAACAUAUAUGGGGCUGAGGAUAUCACAGGAGCUCACUAAAGUAAAGAGGAAAGGCUGCCUCCCAAGGUUGAAAUAUUUGGAAGAGAAUCCUCCAAAUCUCUGGAAGAUAUCGGCGGGAAGAC